GGCCACGCCUUGGCCCAUGUCCUAGAGGGUCUCCAAGCCUGGAGGGGCCUCGAUGUACUAGUGCCUGAGGACUCAGGUCUGCCCCGCUGGGCCCAGGCCGGCAAGGAAUUGGGAGACCUUGGUGAUGACCUUGGGACUCCGAAGGCUGGGCCUGUGACAUCUGGACUCCUGCUUGGUGACAUGGGGAUCACCACAGUGACUGCUUCCAGAGAGCGGGUGUUAUUAUAAAGGCGCCCUUGCGGCCUUUGCCAUCCA
Molecule: long non-coding RNA, 255 nt
Organism: Erinaceus europaeus (western European hedgehog)
Lineage: Eukaryota; Metazoa; Chordata; Mammalia; Eulipotyphla; Erinaceidae
Exons: 2
Source: RefSeq, a predicted model, not a curated record